RNA transcript from Oreochromis niloticus (Nile tilapia), 265 nucleotides. RefSeq lists it as uncharacterized. The transcript is spliced from 3 exons. NCBI's taxonomy places the organism in Eukaryota, Metazoa, Chordata, Actinopteri, Cichliformes, Cichlidae. The record is from RefSeq and is a predicted model, not a curated record.
CUACAACACCACCCAAAACCUGAAACUGUAAACUGCCUCCACGCUCUCCUACUGUGGUUUGUGUGUGAGCCCGAUGGUCCAGAGGACGAGUUUGAGAGGAAGAUGAAAGCUUUAAAGGAUGAAGGUGUGAGUAACUGGCAGCCACGUGUGGCUCAUGCUUUCAGCCAAUGGCAGUGCUGCAUGAGGCAGAGCCUCCACCUGAACCAGCUGCUGUGUUCCCCUCUACCAGAACCUCAGUGUGUCCGACUUUACUGUGGACCUGUCA